Molecule: ribosomal RNA, 432 nt
Filed under: uncultured bacterium
Lineage: Bacteria
Description: partial 16S ribosomal RNA
Rfam family: Bacterial small subunit ribosomal RNA
Source: RNAcentral
AACGAACGCUGGCGGCAUGCCUAACACAUGCAAGUCGAACGAGACCUUCGGGUCUAGUGGCGCACGGGUGCGUAACGCGUGGGAGCCUGCCCUUAGGUUCGGAAUAACUCCCCGAAAGGGGUGCUAAUACCGGAUAAUGUCUUCGGACCAAAGAUUUAUCGCCUUGGAUGGGCCCGCGUUGGAUUAGCUAGUUGGUAGGGUAAAAGCCUACCAAGGCGACGAUCCAUAGCUGGUCUGAGAGGAUGAUCAGCCACACUGGGACUGAGACACGGCCCAGACUCCUACGGGAGGCAGCAGUGGGGAAUAUUGGACAAUGGGCGAAAGCCUGAUCCAGCAAUGCCGCGUGAGUGAUGAAGGCCUUAGGGUUGUAAAGCUCUUUUACCCGGGAUGAUAAUGACAGUACCGGGAGAAUAAGCUCCGGCUAACUCCGUG